RNAcentral lists this long non-coding RNA (949 nucleotides) under Pogona vitticeps (central bearded dragon). RNAcentral describes it as "lncRNA (ENSPVIG00000020434.1)". The record is from RNAcentral. Lineage: Eukaryota; Metazoa; Chordata; Lepidosauria; Squamata; Agamidae.
UAAGGAGUCAAGAUGGACGGUCUAUGAAGGCCACAAAUAGUGGCUGUCGUUCCCUACAUUUCUCCUGCAAUAUUAACCAUUGGUAAUUACAGCAGUAAUUGGUCACUAGCUUUGACACGGAAGGUCCGUAUUCACCUCUCACAUUAAAAUGGUAGCAAGUGCUAGGAAAGAUUCUUGUUUGAGAACUCAACACACUUUUAAACAGAAGAAAUAGCACUAGGAGAGGUGGAUCAACAGUCUUAAUUCAGUAUUAGACCAUCUCUUAUGCAUUCAUAAUAUUUAACAGUGCUUAACCUUGGCAGAAUACUUUCCGUAGCAUGCUUCGUAUGUGGGAUAAGUGUGUGUAACUGCAUGUGUAGAUUAGGUGGAGGACAGCUGUACAUAUAUUCUUCUGUCUUAGUAAUAAAUAAAAAUAUAAAAUUAGGACACGUUUUUUUCUGAUUUUUUUUCUAGAAAGCAAAAAGUGUAGAGGACCAUACAUUACCUAUCCCUCCCUUAGAGAAAUAUUGCUCUUCUUUCGUCGGAAUUUGAGAUCCGUGCUACAAUACUGGUGACAAAUUAUGACUCUUAUGUGUAUCAUUUCAUAUUAAUAAAUGAGGAAAACAGGAAUACUUUUGUAGGGAUCCCCACCAAGAUUAACUGUUGGAGCUCCCUUUCUUCAGAACAGAAGGAUGUUCGAUCUGAGGACCUUAGAUUACCUCUCUCUCAGAUGACUGAUGGGCUAAAGAGUGUGGCACCUCUUUGUGGAAAUGAGCCCCCAUUUUUUGUUCCACAACUUACUCUGUGACUUGCAGAGCCAUCCAGUUUGUGCCUGAAUGCAGACAGAUAAUUUUGUAAAUUAUGGCUGAAUAUAUACCUACCUAUGUACAGUAAAUUGUCCUGUAACAUACAGGGGUGUGUGUCUGUGCAUGCGUGCGUGUCUGUGUGUGUGUGUGAGAGAGAGAAAGAG